This 387-nucleotide ribosomal RNA is filed under the name uncultured bacterium. RNAcentral's name for it is "bacterial SSU rRNA". It matches the Rfam family "Bacterial small subunit ribosomal RNA", at positions 30 to 419 of the family's 1533-position model. The record is from RNAcentral.
AUUGAACGCUGGCGGCAUGCCUUACACAUGCAAGUCGAACGGUAACAGCACUUCGGUGGCUGACGAGUGGCGAACGGGUGAGUAAUACAUCGGAACGUGCCCGAGAGUGGGGGAUAACGCAGCGAAAGCUGUGCUAAUACCGCAUACGAUCUACGGAUGAAAGCAGGGGACCGCAAGGCCUUGCGCUCAUGGAGCGGCCGAUGGCAGAUUAGGUAGUUGGUGGGAUAAAAGCUUACCAAGCCGACGAUCUGUAGCUGGUCUGAGUGGACGACCAGCCACACUGGGACUGAGACACGGCCCAGACUCCUACGGGAGGCAGCAGUGGGGAAUUUUGGACAAUGGGGGAAACCCUGAUCCAGCCAUGCCGCGUGCAGGAUGAAGGCCUGG